This is a non-coding RNA of Marinactinospora thermotolerans DSM 45154, 85 nucleotides long. The record is from Rfam. Lineage: Bacteria; Bacillati; Actinomycetota; Actinomycetes; Streptosporangiales; Nocardiopsidaceae.
GGUGGAGUCGCAUAGUGGCCGAGUGCGCGCGCCUCGAAAGCGCGUGAAGGGAGACCUUCCGAGGGUUCAAAUCCCUCCUCCACCG